AAAGGAAUUGAAGCUUACCUGAUCUGAAGGUGGUCGUCCGCCUCCUACUCCGACGAUGCGGCCUUCUGCUCCAGCGGCGUGGGUCCAACACCAGGUCCUGCCAACCGUGAAGGGUUGUGAGAGAGAGACAGUGGAGAAAAAGGAAGAGGGUGAUGAAAGUCUCCACCGAUCGGGGCUUCUUGUAGCCUCUGAUUGCAGGGGAAGGCGGAUGGUUGUAACCGCCCGCCAUCAGGUAACCCAAACGCCUGCCCUUUGGUGUGCUGGCCUCCCCCGUUUCUACUAGAAACGGGAACGGUUAUCACAUUCUUCCCUCCAAAUAAAAAAAUUCCGUCCUCGAAAUUUACAUACCUAGUGCCCACGUGGGGGCCACAUGAGGGGGAACACGGGGCUCCCCUGCCAGAUAUUGUCCAGUUCUGGGGCUUCACGCAAGCGUCCUUCAGCCCUCUCCGAUUUUGUUUUCCAUCCAAAAUGCAUCUGCAGGAUUAGGAGACACCCGCCUCAUAUGCCCAGGCUCUGGAACGAGUCUUUCCGAUGUGGGACUAUUGGGCCUCACACCCUUCCCACCAUCGGACAAGAGCCGUCCUCGGCUCUGAUAGAACUCAAGUCCCGGUGGGACAUCAUGCAGGACACCAGGAUAAGAUAGUACUAUGUUCGUCAUACUGGCCCGAAUUAAGUGGUACGGAGCAUACCGUACCAUACCAGUUCGGUACCAGUACCUAACAUACACCGAAAAGAUUGUAUACCGUACCAUACCGAUAUAGUGCUAUUUUAGCACUGAUACAGAGUCCAGUACCAAGACGGCGAACCUUGCAAGAUACCAUCCUAAAUGUAAAGACAAUGCUAUCCCGUCAUUAUCCCAACAUCCCAAUCGGCACAUCUUGGUACAUCUUCUAUUCCAAGUGUCAGAAUAGGGCGGGAUGGUGGCACAUCCCAUUCU
This 937-nucleotide long non-coding RNA is filed under the name Phoenix dactylifera (date palm). RNAcentral's name for it is "long non-coding RNA (PDAC_LNC016165)". The record is from RNAcentral. Lineage: Eukaryota; Viridiplantae; Streptophyta; Magnoliopsida; Arecales; Arecaceae.